This 1368-nucleotide ribosomal RNA is filed under the name uncultured bacterium. Its description in RNAcentral is "bacterial SSU rRNA". It matches the Rfam family "Bacterial small subunit ribosomal RNA", at positions 28 to 1381 of the family's 1533-position model. The record is from RNAcentral.
GACGAACGCUGGCGGCGUGCCUAAUACAUGCAAGUAGAACGCUGAAGAGAGGAGCUUGCUCUUCUUGGAUGAGUUGCGAACGGGUGAGUAACGCGUAGGUAACCUGCCUUGUAGCGGGGGAUAACUAUUGGAAACGAUAGCUAAUACCGCAUAACAAUGGAUGACACAUGUCAUUUAUUUGAAAGGGGCAAUUGCUCCACUACAAGAUGGACCUGCGUUGUAUUAGCUAGUAGGUGAGGUAACGGCUCACCUAGGCGACGAUACAUAGCCGACCUGGGAGGGUGAUCGGCCACACUGGGACUGAGACACGGCCCAGACUCCUACGGGAGGCAGCAGUAGGGAAUCUUCGGCAAUGGGGGCAACCCUGACCGAGCAACGCCGCGUGAGUGAAGAAGGUUUUCGGAUCGUAAAGCUCUGUUGUAAGUCAAGAACGAGUGUGAGAGUGGAAAGUUCACACUGUGACGGUAGCUUACCAGAAAGGGACGGCUAACUACGUGCCAGCAGCCGCGGUAAUACGUAGGUCCCGAGCGUUGUCCGGAUUUAUUGGGCGUAAAGCGAGCGCAGGCGGUUUGAUAAGUCUGAAGUUAAGGCUGUGGCUCAACCAUAGUUCGCUUUGGAAACUGUCAAACUUGAGUGCAGAAGGGGAGAGUGGAAUUCCAUGUGUAGCGGUGAAAUGCGUAGAUAUAUGGAGGAACACCGGUGGCGAAAGCGGCUCUCUGGUCUGUAACUGACGCUGAGGCUCGAAAGCGUGGGGAGCGAACAGGAUUAGAUACCCUGGUAGUCCACGCCGUAAACGAUGAGUGCUAGGUGUUGGAUCCUUUCCGGGAUUCAGUGCCGCAGCUAACGCAUUAAGCACUCCGCCUGGGGAGUACGACCGCAAGGUUGAAACUCAAAGGAAUUGACGGGGGCCCGCACAUGCGGUGGAGCAUGUGGUUUAAUUCGAAGCAACGCGAAGAACCUUACCAGGUCUUGACAUCCCGAUGCUAUUUCUAGAGAUAGAAAGUUACUUCGGUACAUCGGUGACAGGUGGUGCAUGGUUGUCGUCAGCUCGUGUCGUGAGAUGUUGGGUUAGGUCCCGCAACGAGCGCAACCCCUAUUGUUAGUUGCCAUCAUUCAGUUGGGCACUCUAGCGAGACUGCCGGUAAUAAACCGGAGGAAGGUGGGGAUGACGUCAAAUCAUCAUGCCCCUUAUGACCUGGGCUACACACGUGCUACAAUGGUUGGUACAACGAGUUGCGAGUCGGUGACGGCAAGCUAAUCUCUUAAAGCCAAUCUCAGUUCGGAUUGUAGGCUGCAACUCGCCUACAUGAAGUCGGAAUCGCUAGUAAUCGCGGAUCAGCACGCCGCGGUGAAUACGUUCCCGGGCCU